UGGGGUAUCGCCAAGCGGUAAGGCACCGGUUUUUGAUUCCGGCAUUCCCUGGUUCGAAUCCACGUACCCCAGCCA
This 75-nucleotide transfer RNA is filed under the name Klebsiella pneumoniae. Its description in RNAcentral is "tRNA-Gln". It matches the Rfam family "tRNA". Rfam says of the family: Transfer RNA (tRNA) molecules are approximately 80 nucleotides in length. Their secondary structure includes four short double-helical elements and three loops (D, anti-codon, and T loops). Further hydrogen bonds mediate the characteristic L-shaped molecular structure. tRNAs have two regions of fundamental functional importance: the anti-codon, which is responsible for specific mRNA codon recognition, and the 3' end, to which the tRNAs corresponding amino acid is attached (by aminoacyl-tRNA synthetases). tRNAs cope with the degeneracy of the genetic code in two manners: having more than one tRNA (with a specific anti-codon) for a particular amino acid; and 'wobble' base-pairing, i.e. permitting non-standard base-pairing at the 3rd anti-codon position. The record is from RNAcentral. Lineage: Bacteria; Pseudomonadati; Pseudomonadota; Gammaproteobacteria; Enterobacterales; Enterobacteriaceae.